RNAcentral lists this long non-coding RNA (1155 nucleotides) under Malus domestica (apple). RNAcentral's name for it is "long non-coding RNA (MDOM_LNC002781)". The record is from RNAcentral. Lineage: Eukaryota; Viridiplantae; Streptophyta; Magnoliopsida; Rosales; Rosaceae.
GAUAUUUCCAUCGAUAUUUCCGUGUUUUCGGACUACCGAUAUUUCCGAUAUUACUGAUAUUUUCUUCCUUGGUAUUAAAUAAAGCUUAAUAAAGCUUACGUAUAGUAAAAACUCACUUUUAUUCAUUAUAUUCUAUUCAGUCUCACUUUAUCUCUUGUACUAAUUUUUUUUUUUGUUUCAUAUUACCCCAUUUCAUUAAGUGGAUUGAAAGAAACAUUAGUUUCGCUGAUGUAGAGUCACUUUGUCUUUUCAGCAAUAAUAAGGAUAGGUUAAAAAAAGGGAAGUGUUAUUGGUAUUUUAAAAAUCUCAUUAUAUACUCCUCACAAGUGUAUUUUCCUUUAUAAAUAUAGAAAGUUUGGAAUGUAGAAUAAGAAUUUUGAAGUGCCAAUAAUAAUUCUCUAAAAAAAGUAUGAGUUUUAAUAACAAGAUAACUAGAAAGUUAAAUCAUUUAGGGUUUUCCAAAGAAUUUGGGGGUAUUUUUUAUAGGGGUGUUUUGGUAUUUUAAUUUUCGUUCUAAUGUGAUUUUUGUGGUUUUGGAUGUAGAUGUGAAAGCAAGGGUGUAAAAUCAAAGAACCCCUUCAAUUAGCGAAACUUCCUGCCCCUUUCAACCUAUCUGUCAAAAUUGAUUAAGUGAGGCACAAAUGAUGAGCGCAAGGGGCAUAGUGAAACAUAUGAUACGCUGAUAGUUAUAUCACUUAAAAAUAAUCUUUGUGACAAUUGAUGUGAAUAAUCACAUAUAUUAAAAAAUUAUAAAUGUUAGUAUUUCAUUAAUUAAAAGUUCAGAAGUCAACCAAUCACUAAUUUUUUUAGAUUCUCCCGUUGCUGCCUCCUCCCUCUCUUUUCACUUUCUUUUUUUAGUUUUUCAAUUGUUAUCUAUGUUGUAGGCAUAAUUUACUGAACAAGUAUAGAGGCAAAAAAGAGAAGGUGCGGCAUAGAGAGAAAAGAUAGAGAUGUGUAUUUGUGAGGUGUGUUCUAUUCCACCUUAUUGUACUUUUAUUUAUAGUAGUAGGAUAAGUAAAAUAUUUACCCUUUUAGGAUUACAACUCUUAAUAGGUAAUCAACUCCUAAUAAGAAUAUAAGAGAUAUUCCUAGAUCUACUAGGAUUUACACAAUCACAUUUCUAAUCUAAUAGGACUGCAACACUCCCCAUUGAGU